AACGAACGCUGGCGGCAGGCCUAACACAUGCCAGUCGAGCGCCCAGUCGGGGGAGCGGCGGCCGGGUGAGUAGCGCGGGGGAAGAUGCCCUUCUCUACGGAAUAGCCUCGGGAAACUGAGAGUAAUACCGUAUACGCCCUGUGGGGGAAAGAUUUAUCGGGGAAGGAUUAGCCCGCGUGGGAUUAGGUAUUUGGUGGGGUAAUGGCCUACCAUGCCGACGAUCCAUAGCUGGUGUGAGAGGAUGAUCAGCCACACUUGGAAUGAGAAACGGCACAGACUCCUACGCGAGGCAGGAGUGGGUAAUGCUAGAAAAUGGCGGCAACAAUGAUAUAGCCAGGCCGCGUGAGUGCUGAAGGAAUUAGGGUUGUAAAGUUCUAUUAGCUGGGAAGAUCAUGACGGUACCAGAAGAAGAAGCCCCGGCUAACUCCGUG
This 431-nucleotide ribosomal RNA is filed under the name uncultured bacterium. RNAcentral describes it as "partial 16S ribosomal RNA". It matches the Rfam family "Bacterial small subunit ribosomal RNA", at positions 29 to 507 of the family's 1533-position model. The record is from RNAcentral.